AUUGAACGCUGGCGGCAUGCUUUACACAUGCAAGUCGAACGGCAGCGCGGGCUUCGGCCUGGCGGCGAGUGGCGAACGGGUGAGUAAUGCAUCGGAACGUGCCCAGCAGUGGGGGAUAGGCCGGCGAAAGCCGGAUUAAUACCGCAUACGACCUGAGGGUGAAAGCGGGGGACCGAAAGGCCUCGCGCUAUUGGAGCGGCCGAUGUCGGAUUAGCUAGUUGGUGGGGUAAAGGCUUACCAAGGCGACGAUCCGUAGCUGGUCUGAGAGGACGACCAGCCACACUGGGACUGAGACACGGCCCAGACUCCUACGGGAGGCAGCAGUGGGGAAUUUUGGACAAUGGGGGCAACCCUGAUCCAGCCAUGCCGCGUGCGGGAAGAAGGCCUUCGGGUUGUAAACCGCUUUUGUUCGGGAAGAAAUCCUCUGGGCUAAUACCCCGGGGGGAUGACGGUACCGGAAGAAUAAGCACCGGCUAACUACGUG
This 484-nucleotide ribosomal RNA is filed under the name uncultured bacterium. RNAcentral describes it as "partial 16S ribosomal RNA". It matches the Rfam family "Bacterial small subunit ribosomal RNA", at positions 28 to 507 of the family's 1533-position model. The record is from RNAcentral.